UUCUUCUUGGCUGUAAAUUGUAAAAUUUGCCUCAGACAAUCUCGGGACGCCGAGAGAGAAGGCAGCUUGGCCUGGGAGGCAUUCUGAAGGCCUGGGUCGGAAGAAAGAAAGAAAGAAAGAAAGAAAGAAAGAAAGAAAGAAAGAAAGAAAGAAAGGGCAGCCGCGGCUAGAAGGCCCGAAGAGACAGGCUCCGUUUCUGAAGCAGAAAUGGCAAAGCCUUGUGAAACGGACGGAAGAAAUAAAGGCAAAAUUUUUGAAAAUUUCCACAGCUUUUUCUGAAGGGACCAGCGCUGAAUUCAAGUCAACGUGAAGAAAGAAACAAAAGGUCGAGAGGACGGAAGAUGCUUGAAGACACCCUCGCAAGGACACCGCCUGCCUCCCAAAAAAGGUCGUUUUCAGGUUAAUUGGUGUAAGGGUAGGCAUUUAAUGUCUAUCUUUGCAUUAAAAAAAGGGUUACCUUUGCACACGGUUCCCCUCGCGGGUGGCAUCGAAGUCCCCCCACUCGGGAACGAACGGGUCCUCCCUUUGUUCUAGGCAGAUGAUGGGUCUUCCUAUACGGGCCGUAGGGGUCACAGCUUGGGGGUCAGCGGGGGGGCCCGCCCUGGCAUCGCGGGGGGCAGCACACGUUACGGGCAUUUUAAGAUGUCCUUGCAACUUAGAAAUAAAAAUAUUAAUACCUUAACUCACUUACUAACAUCCUACUAACACCAUUCUAAAUAGGGUACCCUGGCCUUUUAAAUAGGACUGUUCUGCCUGAUGGCAAGAACCAAGCUGGGAAGGGAGGGGGCCUCCUGGCCCCCCAUAAAAGGGCCCCCAUGGAAGGACAUUGCAAAAGGCCCCUAAGGUGUCCUGAGAGCAGCCUCUUGGUCCUCAGUGUUCCCCACGGUGCCAGGGCUGGGCCCCUCGCUCUCCCCCAACCCAUGGACCCUGCCGCUUGUAUAUCAUCCGCCCAGGGCCAACGGACGCCCCCUCCCUCCCCGGGCGGAGCUUCGAGGCCACACUCAAGGGGAGACCAGAGCCGUGUGCUUCAUGCCAACGCCUAGCACGUGGCGAACCUUUUUUUUUACUGCAAACAUAGGCAUCAUGAUUGUGAUUUUUGUUAAUUCCUUUUAAAUUUAAUUGUUUGUAUUUGAUAGCAUGAUAGGCUGGUUUUAUAUCAGUGAGCCGCCCCGAGUCCCUCUGGGGAGACUGUGGCAGGGUAGAAAAAUAAAAUUAUUAUUAUUAUUAUUGAUUCGAGGCACCUGGAAAAAGAAAUACCAGGAAGCAGAUAAAAUUAUUAUUAUUAUUGAUUCGAGGCACCUGGAAAAAGAAAUACCAGGAAGCAGAUAAAAUUUUUAUUAUUAUUAUUAUUAUUAUUGAUUCGAGGCACCUGGAAAAAGAAAUACCAGGAAGCAGAUAAAAUUAUUAUUAUUAUUAUUAUUGAUUACAGGCACCUGGAAAAAGAAAUACCAGGAAGCAGAUAAAAUUAUUAUUAUGAUGAUUAUUAUUAUUAUUGAUUCCAGGAAAAAGAUAUACCAGGAAGCAGAUAAAAUUAUUAUUGUUAUUGUUCUUGUUGUUGUUAUUAUGUAGGACCCCCUUUUAUUUAUGUAAGGCCACACACCCAGGGGACCACUAUUCCUAAUUAAAGCCUGGUUAAAGGGGAUCCUCUAUUCUUAAAGUUAGGCGUAUAGAGAUCUCCUAUCCAGAAACUAAUGCGGCCUGCCCUAUAGAGAUCUGUUAAACCAAGGCGGCCUGCCCUAUAGAGAUCUCCUAUUUCACGUAACACCAGGCAAUAUGGAGAUCCCUGGUUUUUUUAACCGUUAAAUCCCUUACGUGGGGAUAUCCCUGGUUAUUUUAACCUUUAAGUCCCUUACGUGGGGAUAUCCCUGGUUAUUUUAACCUUUAAGUCCCUUACGUGGGGAAAUCCCUGGUUUUUUUAACCCUUAAGGCCAGAUGUGGGGAUUUCCUUGCUUUUAACCCGUGAGGCCAGCCAUGGGGAGAUAUCUUAGGCUGUUUUCACGAAAAGUCAGGUAUAGACGCACUGUUUUCUCUCCCGUUCCAUGUGCCUGGACUCCCGGAGGGCUCCUGCCGGACACCGUCUCCCAUCGGCCGAGAGGGAUCCUUCUUGUCUGGGAAGGAUCUGCAACACAGGUAAAAAGAAGAUUCCGGGAAGGAGAUUCUACAGCGGAGCCCUUAAGCCAGGUGAGACACUCCUUCCAGCCUCCACGGCUGCCUUGCACACACACACACACACACAUGAGACACACAAACACACAUGACACACACAAACACAUACACAUGUACAGCUGGUGCCCACGGGGACUCUUCCCCAAUAGAUCGGGGACUCCCACUCCGGCGAUUGGCCAUUGUAAAUGCCUUGAAGCAGUUUGGGGCUUCCGGCCAAGCGCUUGCAAAGAGAAUCCAUUCAAGGUUGGACCCCUUUUAAAGGGCCUGGCACGUGGUAUUUAUUCCUGGCACGUGGAAAACUCCAUUUGUAAGGCAAACCCUCGUUAAAGGAGGUUUACAAUUAGUUUAAAACCAGGCUUCUGAGGGACCCGCUGCGUUUAAAGCCAAACCUAGCAGGUGGGAACCCCUUGGUUAACGUAAGGCGAGGGACCCUCCAUAUUUAAUAAGAUGCCUGGCAGAAUCUUAACCUAAAUGCAGGCCUAUGGGCUACAGCCUAUUCUGCAUAGCCAGGCAUGGGGGGACCCCAGAUUAUUAACUUGAAGCCUGGGAAAAGGAGAUUUUUGUAUUUAUUUAUUUAUUUAUUUAUUACAAUAUUUAUAUCCCGCCCUCUCUCCCCUUAAAAGGGGACUCAGCGGCUUACAAGUGAUAUUUACAUAUUUAUUUAUUACAAUAUUUAUAUCCCACCCUCUAUCCUUAAAAGGGGACUCAGAGCGGCUUACAAGUGAUAUUUACAUAUUUAUUUAUUACAAUAUUUAUAUCGGCCCUCCCUCCCCUUAAAAGGGGACUCAGAGCGGCUUACAAGUGAUAUUUACAUAUUUAUUUAUUACAAUAUUUAUAUCCCGCCCUCUCUCUCCUUAAAAGGGGACUCAGAGCGGCUUACAAGUGAUAUUUACAUAUUUAUUUAUUACAAUAUUUAUAUCCCACCCUCUAUCCUUAAAAGGGGACUCAGAGCGGCUUACAAGUUAUAUUUACAUAUUUAUUUAUUACAAUAUUUAUAUCCCGCCCUUCUCACCCAACAGGGGACUCAGGGCGGCUCAACAAUAAGACGCAUAUAUAAAAACCACACAGUGCAAUAUAAAUCAUCACUAACUUACAUCAGUAUUCAUAAAACACAUUAUAAAAUACAGAUAGGUGUGUUCAGUUCAAAUCCAUUCAAGGUAUACGUGGACCCCCUUUUAAUGCCAACCUUUCCACGUGGAAAACUAUUUGUAAGGCAAACCCUCGUUAAAGGAGGUUUGCAAUUAAUUUAAAACCAGGCUUCUGAGGGAUCCGCUGCGUUUAAAGCCAAACCUAGCAGGUGGGAACCCCUUUGGUUAACGCAAGGUGAGGGACCCUCCAUUUUUAAUAGGAUGCCUGGGAGAAUCUUAACCUAAAAGCAGGCCUAUGGGCUACAGCCUAUUCUGCAUAGCCAGGCAUGGGGGGACCCCAUAUGAUGAAUUUGAAGCCUGGUAAAAGGAGCUUUUUGUAUUUAUUACAUUUAUAUCCCGCCCUCUCUCCCCUUAAAAGGGGACUCAGAGCGGCUUACGAGUUAUAUUUACAUAUUUAUUUAUUUAUUACAAUAUUGAUAUCCCGCCCUCUCUCCCCUUAAAGGGGACUCAGGGCAGCUUAACAAUAAGACGCAUAUAUAAAAAACCAUACAGUGCAAUGUAAGUCAUCAUUAACUUACAUCAGUAUUCAUAAAACACAU
Long non-coding RNA from Anolis carolinensis (green anole), 3853 nucleotides. RefSeq lists it as uncharacterized. The record is from RefSeq and is a predicted model, not a curated record. The transcript is spliced from 3 exons. NCBI's taxonomy places the organism in Eukaryota, Metazoa, Chordata, Lepidosauria, Squamata, Anolidae.